AUUGAACGCUGGCGGCAUGAUUUACACAUGCAAGUCGAACGGUAACAGGCCGCAAGGUGCUGACGAGUGGCGAACGGGUGAGUAAUGCAUCGGAACGUGCCCAGUCGUGGGGGAUAACUACUCGAAAGAGUAGCUAAUACCGCAUACGAUCUAUGGAUGAAAGCGGGGGACCGUAAGGCCUCGCGCGAUUGGAGCGGCCGAUGUCAGAUUAGGUAGUUGGUGGGGUAAAGGCUCACCAAGCCAACGAUCUGUAGCUGGUCUGAGAGGACGACCAGCCACACUGGGACUGAGACACGGCCCAGACUCCUACGGGAGGCAGCAGUGGGGAAUUUUGGACAAUGGGCGCAAGCCUGAUCCAGCAAUGCCGCGUGCAGGAAGAAGGCCUUCGGGUUGUAAACUGCUUUUGUACGGAACGAAACGGCUCUGGUUAAUACCCGGGGCUAAUGACGGUACCGUAAGAAUAAGCACCGGCUAACUACGU
This 481-nucleotide ribosomal RNA is filed under the name uncultured bacterium. RNAcentral describes it as "partial 16S ribosomal RNA". It matches the Rfam family "Bacterial small subunit ribosomal RNA", at positions 30 to 506 of the family's 1533-position model. The record is from RNAcentral.